Molecule: long non-coding RNA, 6615 nt
Organism: Clupea harengus (Atlantic herring)
Lineage: Eukaryota; Metazoa; Chordata; Actinopteri; Clupeiformes; Clupeidae
Source: Ensembl
CUGGGUUUAAGACUUAUAUACUAACCAAUGAUUUCAAAUGAUUUAAAUAUAAUGAUAUACUUUAUUAAUCAUAAUAUCUGAUGUUUCAUAUGGUCUGUAUGCAGGAAUCUAAAUCGACCUUGAAUUCAUUAAUUAUAUUCUUUAAUACUGUCACAUUAAAUUAUUUAGAAGUCAGUUAUGCCUGAUAACUGGCUAGAAACAUGUCUAAUAAUAUAAGACUAAUCAGUAUAUGAGUGCUAUUAUGAGUGUGCGCAAGGUUAUGUGCCAGCUCAGUGUGUUGAUUCAUAGGGUCUUCCUUACGGUGUGUGUAUUUUAGGUGGUCUGUCUCAGGCACGAAUGGUCUGGGACAGAGCGGUGACCCGACACAUUGACUCAGCACAAGACCACCGCCAUCACACCAGAAUGUUCCAUCGUCCUGACCCAGGCUUUUAUGAUGGGAUGUUGCUCAGUAUUCUGAACAUUGUUUGAUUGGCAGUCCACACAAGAGCAGUAAAGUGACUCACACACUAGCUUGAGGUUCUAAGUCAGACUUAUAUGUGUGUCACUGGUGUUUAAAAUAAUUCCAAAAGCACAGAGUCUUUUAGUUUUGUAUUAUUAUCAACAGAUUAAACAGAAGAUACCGGAGAAGAAGAACACACAUCUGUGCUUGUGCUAUGACACCAUUCAGGUUAUAUACAAGAGGUCUAACAUGGCCAUGUUAUGAUCCUUCACAGUGUGUUUUUACUAGAACAGUAUUCAUGGAGUCAGUAUUUCAACAGCAUUUGAAAGUUGUACCAUCCAUGACAUCCAUAUAUUUAAUUGCUUUCAGAACCAUAACACUUGCUCAAUCAGAGCUUCAUCCCCUCCUUGGCCUAGUCAGACAAAACUGUGCAUAUCCACGAAGUCAAACAUUUGCAAGGAAGCACACUGAUGUUUUAAAUACCUACGCUCUGUGUCUGUGGAGGUAAGAUAAAAGGCUUCGUUAAUGUCCCUGGAAGGCGACCAUAUGUUUGAAAUGAAUCAGAUUAGACAGUUUACAACGGCUGUGAGUAAGAAGUAUUAAUAGAUGCACAUCGUAAAUGACCUAUGCAACCUGAUCCCAGGAACUACUCCUCAACUUCCCACCCACACUCUGUGAAAUUCUGAAUAACAUCUUAGAGUGAUGUAUGCCAUUGACAAGAGGUAACAUAGGUCAUUAGCCAGGAGAUAUUUUAUUUCAUAAAACAUUUAUGGUACAAAAUAUACUUUCCGUUUAACAAAAAAAAGCCACAGUUAUUGUCUGAAACAGCAAGGCAAAUAGCAAACAACUGAAAAUAGCAUAGCGUUUGACACUAUAAGAGCAGAGAAAAAUGCUAUUUUAAAGACAUGCGGCUUGAAUGAACAGGUACAGUGGUUAAUCCAUAUUGCAGUCAAAACCAUAUAAUAACACUUUAAUGACAUCAGCCCACUUCUUUUCUCGGAUUGAAAAUAAGAUUCUUGUCUUUUAACCAAACAUGUAGAUAUGUGUUAUGUUUUGGCCAUACAUUUCAUAUCGUUUGGACACAAUUGGGAAUUUUGACUUUGUCCUUGCUGAAAGGUCACAAAAAGGACAUAGAAAACUAGAGCUGAUGAGGUCUCAAUAUCACACACGUCUGCUAUUUAGCUUCACGCUUAAUUACAAGGGAGGAAAUAACCAGCCUCAUUAGUCUCCCUUUCCAGACAGCCUCUGUGUGACGUCCUUGUUGUGUUAUAAAAAGACAGCAGAGACUUGCCUUAUCAGUGGAAAUGUGAAAUUAGCCAUACUAACAAGCUCAGGCUCUGCCCUCACAGACGUCAGACAAAUAUUGCUUUGAUUUAAUUUCUACAUGAAAAACACCAGUUCCUUGACCGUGCCAUUCAUCAUUUUGUAAGUAGUCACUAGGGACUAGAGAAUGACUAUCAAGUUACAUCUGCAUGCAAAUGCUACCCUCUACUAAAAUCACACGUGACAAUGUUACAGGUGGUACGGAUUUUCCUAACAAAUAUACAACAUUUAUCAAAAUAUAGCAUAUAUCGAUAUUCUAAAAUGCAAUAUUUAUCAGGUUAUCUGAAACAAACACUUUCAUUUUUUUUCUGAUGCAGCUUAUUAAACUAAGAACUCGAUCACAAUAGCAUUAGGAUAGCAUUGCAAGGACGAGUUCAAACUGAAACACAAAGUAACAUUAAAAAAUGUGACAGUUACUCCUAAAUGUUUUAUGAUAAUAUGCAGUAUUUUUUUUAUGCGAAUAAAAAUAAAAAAUGGCCCUUAUGUGAAACCUUAUGUGAAACCUUGUCUUAAGUGUUUUGUCCAGUGUCUGUCAUGAACUACAGAAAGACAAUAACAGAAGUACAAUAUAUUGACUACAUUCUUGACUGACAGUUUUUACAAUAGAAAAUGCUCAGAUUUUAAGACUCCAACACAACUAUAGUGCCUUUGCAAAAGUACCUGCAGUUUUUUGCAGAAAAUCUGUCUUUGGAUACAUCUAAAGUAGGACUACCUAAUCUACAACCAUCCUAUAACCAGACUGUGCAAUAUGUCAUCCACACAUAUCUAAACACUAAGAGUGGGUGGAAUGCAUGCUUUUGUCAUUGUGCUCAAAUAAGCCAAGUGUACCUGCUUAAAAAAUAAGUUAAAAGGUUGAGACAUGCUGGAAUGUAGACAGUCUACAUUCUGGCACACAAGUACCUAGGGCCCUCUCCAAAGAACAUCCAUAUAGGCACGAAAAACAAGCUGAGCCAGCCAAUUCCAUGUGAGGACACAGUAGAGAGUAGAGAGUCAGAAGUACUUUUAGUAAGCUGGAGCCUGAAAGUUUACAGUUGCAGGGUUCAUGAGGGGUUGUUGUGUAGGAGACUUGGAUGAGAUAGAAUAGGUGUUCAUCACAGGGAUCUAUAGUAUUUGUGUGGGAGUCACUUCCUGAAGUUGCUCAAAGUGCACGCAUGGUGCAGAGUCUUGUAUACAUUCUUAGGGGAAGCUCAGUGGGCUACUGUUGUUUGCCCAGGGAGUGUUACUGCUGUGUUCAGUGGGCCUUUUUGAUCUUUUGACUACUGCCAGGGUGGGGUGUGACGUUAUGUUCACAUGAGAGUGUUUGGCAGAAAUGUCUUACAGUGUUAUUAUAACUUGCGAGUAGGAAUGUUUUCUAUGAAGCAUGCACCAUGAAGCAUAAAAUGGCCGCUCUUUAAAAUGCCAGAUUAUAAGUGACACAGAAAAUUAUUAUGAGUAAGGUUUAACUGACAGUGCAUGCUUGACAUUUUUUUUCAGACAGUCCAGACUCACCCUUUUUUAUAUGUCAGUGAAGGGAAACCACCAGCCUUUUAAGGUGUGGUCCUAAUUACCCUUCAACACAUUUAGAACAGGUGCCACUGCCACCAGACUCAUGUAUUGAAAAUGACUCUGGGAUGAGGCUGCAUGGUAUGGCUGUCUGGCAUGUUGCCAUUUAACCUUAACAUUUAACAUGAAACCAUUUUGUGAUCAUUCAAGAGAGAGUCUUGUUCUGGAGAGACUAAGAGAGAUGUUAAUUUAAUGAAAUGAUGUAUAUUUUUUUCAUUGUGGUCAAUAAAAUACAUGAAUAUGUCAGUGUAUGUAUGAGCAAGAAAAUAUUAUAUACAGUACAUGGAUAAAUAAGUCUUUUGUUAGUUUUGUGUCAUUCAUAAAUGUGUCAUUUUAAAUGAAUGUGUUAAUAAUCUCUGAGAAAUGCUUCUCAGUUUGUUUUUACAAAAGUGAAAACAUGCAAUUCAUGAAGAAAAACUGCUGUUUUACGCAUCAAAAUAGUGUUCAUUUCAUAGAAAAAGAAAUUUACGAGCCAAGGUUUGUUUAAUUUCACAUUUCAGUGACGAUACCUGCAUAAUCUCAAACAUUUCUAAGAAAAUACCUUUACAAAACUAAACAACAGAAUCAUUCGUACAAGUCCCAGUAAUAUAUGGGCAUAUAAAAUCUGCAAGUUGCCAGGUUGACACACAAACACACAUAUGCACACACACACACACAAACACACACAAGCACACAUUAUGCGAGGGUGUAUAUUUGAGGUAUUCUCAUCAGCUGGUUAGAGGAGACCUUGAGGAUGGUACCGCCAUGCACUGGAGGCAGACAUGGACUACACGGGCCCUUAAUUCAAUGACGGGCAACGGGCAGUGAGCAAAGUCUGUCGUGCACGAGCUAAAGCUAUCGUCUGGCAUAUGGGAGCAUUGCCCUGACCCACCCAUGUUUGCCUUAAGGAUCUUGCUCGUGGUUUUAAAUUAGCAAAAUGAUUUUGCCAAGUUAUUCAAUUAGCUUUAGUUCACGCACGGCGGACUUUGUUUGUUGCCAAUCGCCCGUCAAUGACAUGAGGGCCCCACGUCAUGCAGACUCAGUUCUUUACUAAUUAAUUGUGUGGUGGCGACUCAGCUGGCUCAGCUUGUUAUUAGCAGUGUAAGCAUCUACCAUCAAUACUUACAAGUACAACAUGGCUCCCUCUGAGAGAGGACUGAGAGUUAGAAUUUAAUGAAAUUUGAAAGUUCCCUCCCUAUUAAUUCUAUUUCUCUAUGGAUAUGUCUUAUUGCAUUCAAUACAUCUAUUUUGAUCUCCCAAUCACCGUGCCAACAAUGACAUCCAUUAAUCCUUGAGCCUCUACUAAGUACACAAUAUCAACACAAAAUAGACUUACUAUAUACAAGUGAAUUUAAAUAGUUGAAUAAAUUAUAGAUAUAUUUAUAUCUGAAGCAUCUAAAGCUGUAGAUUAUACCACAUAAAUACCAGGGACAUAAAGGAGGAAAAGAAUGUGAAAGGAGAAAGAAGGGUCAGAAAGAAGCAGAAAGGAAAGUCUGUCCAGUGCUAUUCAAAGGAGCAGGCAGGUCUUAUCCUAUUGGAUACUACAAUUACCCUCCUCAGAGGGCAAACAGGCAUUAUUGCCCAAUACCCACACCUCCCCAUGCCAGGUUUCCUACAUAGGUAGCUAAAAUCCAUCCGCUUUGGUUCAUAAAAGCUCCCAAGACGCCCUCCUCAAUAUCUCCAAUUAGAAAGUCUCAGAGAGGAAAAGCAGUGAUACUGUAGGUUCCAACAACAACUAGGGAAUCCAAACAAGGGAAAAGGAAAAGGGGCUUUGAACUAGGAUAGUUGCAGCAUCGCCUCACAGGCAUUGCCAAUGAUGUCAUCCGGAUGUAAAUCUUGUCAAGCUGGAAGAGAACAGUACCAUAGCUGCUGCUGUGGCCACAGGCCUGGAUCAGACUCCUCUUUCCUUCACAUUCUGUAAACAGAGGGAAAGAGAGGAAGAUGAAGAGACAAGGUUGGUAUUUUGGUGAGCGAUCCAGUCUAAGGGAAGGCCCUCGCUGUAGCAAGAGUGAUCUCACAUAGUGAUUCAGUUACAUGAUGUUAUCAAGUCUCUCGUUGUAAAAAAGGCUCUUGACUUAUUUACCAUUUAAUAUGUUAUUUUCCUUUUUCAUGCUGAAGGACUCUUAAUUUGUUAUUAGCAGCACCAACGUCAUGCCUGAGAGAGAACGCACAUUGUUAUACUUUACUGUGUCGCGCUAUUGAAGCAGCAAUUCCGUGCCUUUCAUGUGUUGAGACCAAGAAACCCCUUUAGUUCGACGUGUGCGUCUAUGAAAGAUGUAAGUUCUCUACUGGGAUGUUAAUUCCAUGUAUUAAGCAGUGUUAUAUGUUUAGAGAUAUUAAUUGUUUAUCAUUAGUGCUAAACGGGUGAAGGAAUGCUAGCAUUUACCGUGUGAAUGACGUUAUGUUAGCUUGCUAAAUUACCUUGCAUUGCGCCAAACCAUGUACUUUCUAUCCUGUUAGCCUGCAUACGUAUGCUAUUUGUGUUCAUUAUAGUGUAGCUACGUACCUACUAAUUUGUAUUUACAUGUUUGUGAGCCUUAUCUAGUCAUUGUACAUGCUUAGUGAUACCGUGAGCUGACUAGCCUGUUGAGUUAACAUGUCAGCGUAGAUAUGUGCGCGAGGGCUACGUAAUAGCUGUGAACUUAUUGUUUUCCCCUUUCUACUUUGUUUAAGAACCACACAUACUCCACACACACCUUAACCACGCACUGUUAUAACACACUGGUUGCUUGUAACAUACUGAAUAUCUCGGUUAGAGAAUUCCUGUAUUCCUGAUUCGUUUCCAAUACAAAGUGGUUGCAUCAAAUCUCGCGUCAUCAUUGCCUCAUCUCCAGCGUGCACCUCUCCUGCCCUGAACAUCCUGGCCUUGAAGUGGUGUUCUGGCCGACACUCAGGAUUGUGUGUGAUGAUAGAAUAAGAACAGCCCCUAUACAGUCCUACCCUACCUAUACAGUUCUACCCAUCUACUAACCCUCACCCACACUCGUGCUUGAGAGAUCCUUUCACAAAGAGGUAAAAACCUUCAUUAGUAGUUUGUGUCAAUGACAUAUUUUGUUUCUGGAGAAUCUGUAGAUGAACAUAGUAACAUUGUAACUUGAGCGUGAACAUUGUAAAUGAACAUAGCCAUGAUAUUUGAACCAAGCCUUGGAAGAAAUUAGUUCAAUGAAUUAUGCAUGGCGAGACAAAAAGAGUUUGUGAACAAGCAAUAAUUCAUGCCAACGAUGCAAGCUAGCAAUGACGUACAUACGUAUUAUGCACAUUAUGUAAGAAAAGCAUGGAAAAUUUUGCAUAAAAGGUUUACAUAAAAGAGCUGAAGGUUUUACGAGUGUGAA